Molecule: non-coding RNA, 87 nt
Organism: Pelobates cultripes (western spadefoot toad)
Lineage: Eukaryota; Metazoa; Chordata; Amphibia; Anura; Pelobatidae
Source: the annotation of a GenBank genome assembly
AUAGAUUUUUUCCUUUAUAAAUUGCUGCCUCCCUACAUGUGUGGUCAAAUAGGGAGGCAGCAAGUUAUAAAUGGAAAAAACACUUGU